UGGGGCGUGGCCAAGUGGUAAGGCAAUGGGUUUUGGUCCUAUUAUUCGGAGGUUCGAAUCCUUCCGUCCCAG
This 72-nucleotide transfer RNA is filed under the name Equisetum arvense (field horsetail). RNAcentral describes it as "tRNA-Gln". It matches the Rfam family "tRNA". Rfam says of the family: Transfer RNA (tRNA) molecules are approximately 80 nucleotides in length. Their secondary structure includes four short double-helical elements and three loops (D, anti-codon, and T loops). The record is from RNAcentral. Lineage: Eukaryota; Viridiplantae; Streptophyta; Polypodiopsida; Equisetales; Equisetaceae. RNAcentral also lists the same sequence under 10 other names.